GGCUCAGAUUGAACGCUGGCGGCAGGCCUAACACAUGCAAGUCGAACGGUAACAGGAAGCAGCUUGCUGCUUUGCUGACGAGUGGCGGACGGGUGAGUAAUGUCUGGGAAACUGCCUGAUGGAGGGGGAUAACUACUGGAAACGGUGGCUAAUACCGCAUAACGUCGCAAGACCAAAGAGGGGGACCUUCGGGCCUCUUGCCAUCAGAUGUGCCCAGAUGGGAUUAGCUUGUUGGUGAGGUAACGGCUCACCAAGGCGACGAUCCCUAGCUGGUCUGAGAGGAUGACCAGCCACACUGGAACUGAGACACGGUCCUGACUCCUACGGGAGGCAGCAGUGGGGAAUAUUGCACAAUGGGCGCAAGCCUGAUGCAGCCAUGCCGCGUGUAUGAAGAAGGCCUUCGGGUUGUAAAGUACUUUCAGCGGGGAGGAAGGUGUUGCGGUUAAUAACCGCAGCAAUUGACGUUACCCGCAGAAGAAGCACCGGCUAACUCCGUGCCAGCAGCCGCGGUAAUACGGAGGGUGCAAGCGUUAAUCGGAAUUACUGGGCGUAAAGCGCACGCAGGCGGUCUGUCAAGUCGGAUGUGAAAUCCCCGGGCUCAACCUGGGAACUGCAUUCGAAACUGGCAGGCUUGAGUCUUGUAGAGGGGGGUAGAAUUCCAGGUGUAGCGGUGAAAUGCGUAGAGAUCUGGAGGAAUACCGGUGGCGAAGGCGGCCCCCUGGACAAAGACUGACGCUCAGGUGCGAAAGCGUGGGGAGCCAACAGGAUUAGAUACCCUGGUAGUCCACGCCGUAAACGAUGUCUACUUGGAGGUUGUGCCCUUGAGGCGUGGCUUCCGGAGCUAACGCGUUAAGUAGACCGCCUGGGGAGUACGGCCGCAAGGUUAAAACUCAAAUGGAUUGACGGGGGCCCGCACAAGCGGUGGAGCAUGUGGUUUAAUUCGAUGCAACGCGAAGAACCUUACCUGGUCUUGACAUCCACAGAAGAAUCCAGAGAUGGAUUUGUGCCUUCGGGAACUGUGAGACAGGUGCUGCAUGGCUGUCGUCAGCUCGUGUUGUGAAAUGUUGGGUUAAGUCCCGCAACGAGCGCAACCCUUAUCCUUUGUUGCCAGCGAUUAGGUCGGGAACUCAAAGGAGACUGCCAGUGAUAAACUGGAGGAAGGUGGGGAUGACGUCAAGUCAUCAUGGCCCUUACGACCAGGGCUACACACGUGCUACAAUGGCGCAUACAAAGAGAAGCGACCUCGCGAGAGCAAGCGGACCUCAUAAAGUGCGUCGUAGUCCGGAUUGGAGUCUGCAACUCGACUCCAUGAAGUCGGAAUCGCUAGUAAUCGUGGAUCAGAAUGCCACGGUGAAUACGUUCCCGGGCCUUGUACACACCGCCCGUCACACCAUGGGAGUGGGUUGCAAAAGAAGUAGGUAGCUUAACCUUCGGGAGGGCGCUUACCACUUUGUGAUUCAUGACUGGGGUGAAGUCGUAACAAGGU
RNAcentral lists this ribosomal RNA (1486 nucleotides) under uncultured bacterium. RNAcentral describes it as "bacterial SSU rRNA". It matches the Rfam family "Bacterial small subunit ribosomal RNA". The record is from RNAcentral.